Molecule: ribosomal RNA, 253 nt
Filed under: uncultured bacterium
Lineage: Bacteria
Description: partial 16S ribosomal RNA
Rfam family: Bacterial small subunit ribosomal RNA
Source: RNAcentral
UACGUAGGGUGCGAGCGUUGUCCGGAAUUACUGGGCGUAAAGAGCUCGUAGGUGGUUUGUCGCGUUGUUCGUGAAAACCGGGGGCUUAACCCUCGGCGUGCGGGCGAUACGGGCAGACUGGAGUACUGCAGGGGAGACUGGAAUUCCUGGUGUAGCGGUGGAAUGCGCAGAUAUCAGGAGGAACACCGGUGGCGAAGGCGGCCUUCUGGACAGUGACUGACGCUGAGACGCGAAAGCGUGGGGAGCAAACAGG